Molecule: long non-coding RNA, 4994 nt
Organism: Syngnathoides biaculeatus (alligator pipefish)
Lineage: Eukaryota; Metazoa; Chordata; Actinopteri; Syngnathiformes; Syngnathidae
Exons: 4
Source: RefSeq, a predicted model, not a curated record
UGGGAAUUACAGUCUCACAGGACCUGAUGUGGGAGACGAACAUCAACUCGCUUCUUCUUUUCCUUUCGGCUUGUCCCGUUAGGGGUCGCCACAGCGUGUCAUCCCUUUCCAUCGAAGCCGAUCUCGUGCAUCUUCUUCUCUAACACCCACUGUCCUCAUGUCGUCCCUCACAACAUCCAUCAACCUUUUCUUUGGUCUUCCUCUCGCUCUUUUGCCUGGCAGCUCCAUCCUCAGCACCCUUCUACAAAUAUACUCACUCUCUCGUCUCUGAACAUGUCCAAACCAUCUAAGGCAGCUCUCUCUAACCUUGUCUCCAAAACAUUCAACUUUGGCUGUCCCUCUAAUGAGGUCAUUUCUAAUCCUAUCCAACCUGUUCACUCCAAGUGAGAAUCUCAGCAUCUUCAUUUCUGCUACCUCCAGUUCUGCUUCCUGUUGUUUCUUCAGUGCCACCGUCUCUAAUCCGUACAUUAUGGCCGGCCUGACCACGGUUUUAUAAACUUUACCCUUCCACCUAGCGGAGACUCCUCUUUCGAAUAGAACACCAGACACCUUCCGCCAACUGUUCCACCCCGCUUGGACCCGUUUCUUCACUUCUUCACCACACUCUCCAUUGCUCUCUAGUGUUGAACACACGUAUUUGAAGUCAAAUCAAAUCAAAAGCCUUUAAUGUCAUUAUAUCCUGUGCAUACAACAAAAGGAUGAAUGCUUCCCCACAAGGUGCAAGGUGCAAUAAAAAAGAACAAAAAUCAAAGAGCAUCUAAAAACAACAGAUAAACGUCAAGGGACAGUUAUUGCUAAAAUCGUCUUCUUCUUCCUUCAGCUUGUCCCGUUAGGGGUCGCCACAGUGUGUCAUCUUUUCCCAUCUAAGCCUAUAUCGUGCAUCCCCCUCUCUAACACCUACUGUCCUCAUGUUCUCCCUCACAACAUUAAUCUGCCUUUUCUUUGGUCUUCCUCUCACUCUUUUGCCUGGCAGCUCCAUCCUCAGCACCCUUCUACCAAUAUACUUACUCUCUCACUUCUGGACAUGUCCAAACAAUCGAAGUCUGCUCUCUCUAACCUUGUCUCCAAAACAUCCAACUUUGGCUGUACCUCUUAUGAGCUAAUUUCUAAUCCUAUCCAACCUGCUCACUCCUAGAAAGAGCGAGAACCUCAGCGUCUUCAUUUCUGCUACCUCCAGUUCUGCUUCCUGCUUUUCCUUCAGAGCCACCCUCUCUAAUCCGUACAUCAUGGCCGGCCUUACCACCAUUUUAUAAACUUUGCCCUUCAUCCUAGCCCAGACCCUUCUGUCAAAUAGAACAUCAGACACUUUCCGCCAACUGUUCCAUCCCGCUUGUACCGAUUUAUUGACUUCCUUACCACACUCACCAUUGCUCUGUAUUGUUGACCACGAGUAUUUGAAGUCAUGCACCCUCACUGUCUCUUCUCCCUGGAGCUUUACUCUUCCUCCUCUUCCCCUCUAAUUAUAUCACAUAUAUUCUAUUUUACUUCGGCUAAUCUUCAUUCCUCUCCUUUCGAGUGUGUGCCUCCAUCUUUCUAAUUGUUCCUCCACCUCCUCCCUGCUUUCACUGCAGAUCACAGUAUCAUCUGCGAACAUCAUAGUCCAAGGGGAUUCCAGUCUAACCUCGUCUGUCAGCCUAUCGAUUACUACCACAAACAGGAAAGGGCUCAGCACGUAUCCCUGAUGCAGUCCCACCUCCACCUUAAAUUCUUCUGACACAUCUAUGGCACAUCUUACCGCUGUUCUGCUGUCCAUAUUUCUCUGCCACACCAGACUUGCGCAUGCAGUAUCACAGUUCCUCUCUUGGUAUUCUGUCAAAGGAUUUCUCUAGGUUUACAAAAACACAAUGUAUCUCCUUCUGACCUUCUCUGUACUUUUCCACGAGCCUCGUCAAGGCAAAUAAUGCAUCUGUGGUACUUUUCCUAGGCAUGCAACCAUACUGUUGCUCGCAGAUACUUACUUCUGUCCUGUGUCUAGCCUCUACUUCUCUUUCCCAUAACUUCAUUGUUUGGCUCAUCUUUAUUCCUCUAUAGUUUCCACAGCUCUGAACAUCUCCUUUGUUCCUAAAAAUGGGGACUACCACACUAUUCCUCCAUUCUUCUGGCAUCUUCUCUCCCGCUAGUAUUCCAUUGAAUAAGGUGGUCAAAAACUGCUAUUGCUAAAAUAAAUAAAUAAAUGCACAAGUGCAGUUACAUAAUAUUCCAUUACAGUACUGUUAUAUUCAGUGGUUUUCAGUUCAAGGAGUUGAUGGCUCUGGGGAAAAAGCUGUCCUUGAAUUUGGUUGUCCGUGUUUUGUGUGACCUGUACCGCUUGCCAGAGCACAGCACUUUAAACAGGUGAACGUCAGGAUGUGGAGAGUCCUUUUCAAUAUUAGUGGCUCUGCUGUGAUACCAGGAGUUGGCAAUUUCCUCUAGGGAGGGCAGAGAACAGCCAGUGAUUUUCUGGUCACUGUUGACACCUUUUUGCAGAGCUUUCCUGUCUGCUACUGUGCAUCCAGCAUACCACACUGUGAUGCAGUCUGUGAGGAUGCUCUCCACGGUGGUUAUGAAGAAAGCCUGUAGCACUUUAGCUUCCAAGUUGUUCUUCCUGAGCACUCUCAGGAAGUGGAGUCACUGCUGGGCCUUUUUCACCCCCACGGUGGUAUUUACAGUCCAGGUGAGUAGCAUUUGCAACAGUGUUCUAGUCAGCUGUUCUACAGGGUUUCCCUGCGGGUGAUAUGGGGUAUUUCGAGAACGGGGAAUGCCAGACAGCUGCAUACAUACAAGGUGAUCCUUGGGACAUUACAUCCACACAUAUAUACGCAGCAAGAGAGGGUGUAGCAGCAUCCUGCUCUCUUGGACCAGAUCAAAUGACAUAGUUCAAAAUGCAGGUAGAGUUGCUCUGUCUCCAGGACACGAGGCCCAGAAGCUGGGUCCUAUGGUGAAACGACUAACUUUAAAUGACUGACUGGGAGAACACACCACUCCCUAACGUACAGACCUCCAAUUCUGCGGAUGCUAAUAACUAAUAUGACCAUAUUAGAACAUGAGACCCUAACUAGAGAACACAGACAUGACUACUCUGACCAUGACGACGCCGAGUCAUUGUUAAAUUAACUGCCUAAAUCAGUUUGGUCUUCUGGAGCCUAUGAUGUUGGAGAUUUUACUAAGACACCAGACAUUAAAAUCACUGUUUUCCCAGGUUAUCAUGUUUACAGACCUCAAUAUCCGGCUGCUCACCAGGGGAUGGAGGACACUCUCACUGGGCUGUGGAAUUCUGGAGUCUUGGAAACAUCCACUUCCUCGUGGUGUACACAACUCAGGCCAGUUUUAAAAGCAGAUGGUAACACUUAUCGUAUGGCGCAUGAUUUGAGAGCCAUUAAUGAUGUAACGACCACACCAUUGUUACCUGUACCAGACCGCCACAUAAUGUUGUCUACCAUCACACCCAAUUUGAAAUACUUCACAGCGACUGAUUUGGCAAAUGCAUUCUUCUGUGUCCCACUCGCACCUGAUUGUAGACACUUGUAAACUCCUGAUGUAUGUUGAUGACCUUCUGUUAGCAGCCCCAACAGCAGAGUUGUGUUUAUCUCUAGCAAAACUCGAUUUGCUUCGUCUGCAUGAGCUGGAAUUCUAAGCUUCCAGAAAGAAGCUUCAGUGUUGUCGCAAAUCGGUACCCUUCUUGCGCAGAGUUGGGUCCUUUGAAGGAUUCACUAUGUCCUCGGAACAUCGUUCUUCUAUUCUUCAGAUUCUCUUCAUCCACGUGCUGAUCUCUCUGUCCAACCUCGGACUAACAGGAGGGUUCUGGUCAAUGAUAGUUGCUGUUACCCCCAGGCAGCGGAAGUGCUCGCACCGGAACUGGCGGUCGGACAAUCUGUCACUGUCUAUUCUGACUCAUCUUACGCUGUCUUGGCUGCUGUGUUGGACCUGUCUGCAUGGAAACGGAGUGACUUUAAAACAGCCAAAGAUGGCCUGAAGCCUACCCCUGCGCUCGGGAAGACGCCAUGUCAGUAAUGAAAGCUUUGGUGAACCACUGGAUUCCAACGCACGGUUUCCCUGCUCCCAUCCGCUUGGACAACGAUGAUCUGGCUGUUGCUCCUGAACACUUCAAGGAAGCUCUUGGCCCAUUACACCGUUCACGUAGGUCCAAGCCUACCUGGCUCAGUGCGGACGAUCCCACCUACUUUGACGCUAUUGGCGUCCCCCGUGGUGUCCCAGAUGAAUACAAACUGGCUGAUCAGGACUUGAAGCUGUACAUGAGCAACUUAAGGCUGCAUCUAUUAUGGCUUUCGAAAAUAGAAUCGCAUUGGAUGCCCUGUUGGCCAAGAAAGGAGGUGUUUGCCGAAUAACACACAACCUGGCAACCUUAGAACCCUUACUAAGAAAAUGAAGAAACACUCUGGUGUUGACGCGUCUGUGGGAUAACUGGAUGAAUGUGUUUGGUAAAUGGAAGGGUGUCAUUUCAUUAAUCUUCAUCUCUCUGGCUGUCUUCACCUCUAUUCUCACCCUUUGCGGAUGCUGUUGCAUUCCUUGUAUUCAUUCUCUUUUAACCUGUCUGAUUGAGAAGGCGCCUGGUGCCCAAGCUGGUGGCCGCGGAAAUUAUGUCCUCAUUAUACCCCCGCCCCGACACACUCCUCAAGAUGAUUUUACUGUUUCUAUCCCUCCCCUUGAAAAUGAUACUAAACUUCCACCGCUUCCUGAUUGUCAUAAUGUUGACAUGCCCCGUGAUUGCAUGGCCCUUGCCCUUCUGUUCUACUGAUACUUUUUGCAUGAUGUUACUUUUUUAGAAAUGUUUUACUGUUUUUGAGCUGUCUAGUACUGUCCUGCAGGUUUCAAGCUUACGGGUGUUCUGAAUCAUGUGACUAUGCACUUGUUGCACCCAUUUUUACCAUGGACCCAUGCAUAUAAAAACCUUGUGUUACUGGGCAGCGCUUGUCUUCUUCUUUGGCUAUCCUGCCAGAAGACACACAUCUCGUGUACGGCAGAUACCUAGAUAAGACCCGGACGUCUGUAUUGCA